This 508-nucleotide ribosomal RNA is filed under the name uncultured bacterium. RNAcentral's name for it is "partial 16S ribosomal RNA". It matches the Rfam family "Bacterial small subunit ribosomal RNA", at positions 30 to 523 of the family's 1533-position model. The record is from RNAcentral.
AUUGAACGCUGGCGGCAUGCCUUACACAUGCAAGUCGAACGGCAGCGGGGGAGGAGCUUGCUUUUCCUGCCGGCGAGUGGCGAACGGGUGAGUAAUACAUCGGAACGUGCCCUGUAGUGGGGGAUAACUAGUCGAAAGAUUCGCUAAUACCGCAUCGGACCUGAGGGUGAAAGUGGGGGUCCGCAAGGCAUCAUGCCAUAGGAGCGGCCGAUGUCUGAUUAGCUAGUUGGUGGGGUAAAGGCCUACCAAGGCGACGAUCAGUAGCUGGUGUGAGAGGACGAUCGGCCACACUGGGUCUGAGACACGGCCCAGACUCCUACGGGAGGCAGCAGGGGGGAAUUUUGGACAAUGGGCGAACGCCUGAUCCAGCAAUGCCGCGUGUGUGAAGAAGGCCUUCGGGUUGUAAAGCACUUUUGUCCGGAAAGAAAUGGCUCUGGUUAAUACCUGGGGUCGAUAACGGUACCGGAAGAAUAAGGACCGGCUAACUACGUGCCAGCCGCCGCGGUAA